AGAGUUUGAUCCUGGCUCAGGACGAACGCUGGCGGCGUGCCUAACACAUGCAAGUCGAACGGAAUUUCGUUCAGCACUGAGUGUUCAUGAAGAUGAGCAUUGAGUGCUGAAUGGAAUUUAGUGGCGGACGGGUGAGUAACGCGUGAGCAACCUGCCUUUCAGAGGGGGAUAACGUUUGGAAACGAACGCUAAUACCGCAUAACAUAGUGGAGUCACAUGGCUCUGUUAUCAAAGGAGCAAUCCGCUGAAAGAUGGGCUCGCGUCCGAUUAGCCAGUUGGCGGGGUAAUGGCCCACCAAAGCGACGAUCGGUAGCCGGACUGAGAGGUUGAACGGCCACAUUGGGACUGAGACACGGCCCAGACUCCUACGGGAGGCAGCAGUGGGGGAUAUUGCACAAUGGAGGAAACUCUGAUGCAGCAACGCCGCGUGAGGGAAGAAGGUUUUCGGAUUGUAAACCUCUGUCCUCGGUGAAGAUAAUGACGGUAGCCGAGGAGGAAGCCACGGCUAACUACGUGCCAGCAGCCGCGGUAAUACGUAGGUGGCAAGCGUUGUCCGGAAUUACUGGGUGUAAAGGGUGCGUAGGCGGCUAUGCAAGUCAGGCGUGAAAUAUAUGGGCUUAACCCGUAGACUGCGUUUGAAACUGUGUAGCUUGAGUGAGGUAGAGGCAGGCGGAAUUCCCGGUGUAGCGGUGAAAUGCGUAGAGAUCGGGAGGAACACCAGUGGCGAAGGCGGCCUGCUGGGCCUUAACUGACGCUGAAUCACGAAAGCAUGGGUAGCAAACAGGAUUAGAUACCCUGGUAGUCCAUGCCGUAAACGAUGAUUACUAGGUGUGGGGGGUCUGACCCCUUCCGUGCCGGAGUUAACACAAUAAGUAAUCCACCUGGGGAGUACGGCCGCUAGGU
RNAcentral lists this ribosomal RNA (903 nucleotides) under uncultured bacterium. RNAcentral describes it as "bacterial SSU rRNA". It matches the Rfam family "Bacterial small subunit ribosomal RNA", at positions 8 to 894 of the family's 1533-position model. The record is from RNAcentral.